Arabidopsis lyrata subsp. lyrata is the source of this 2556-nucleotide long non-coding RNA. RefSeq lists it as uncharacterized. The transcript has 4 exons. NCBI's taxonomy places the organism in Eukaryota, Viridiplantae, Streptophyta, Magnoliopsida, Brassicales, Brassicaceae. The record is from RefSeq and is a predicted model, not a curated record.
UACAUAAUUUAGAGAAUUACACCAAAAAACCUAAACCUUCUUCUCCUUCAUUCCUCGACACAUCUCUUCUUCAAAAAGCACACACGAGAAGAAAAACGAAAUCUCUUCUUCGCCGGAUGUCUUCGUCGCUGGAUCUCUCCGCCGGAUCUCUCGCCGGAAUCCACUCCUCUUUGAUCUCUUCGCCGGAUCUCUUCUUCUCUCUCUCGUGCGUGGGUUUAAGGUGUUACGGAUUGAAUUAGCUGCGACCAUUGUUUGAGAGAUGUUACGGAUUGAAAUCGCUGCAACCACUGUUUGAGAGAUGUUGAAGGUUGAUCUUAAGGCUGAGGCAGAGAAGACUGAUGGUGGUGUUGGAACUGGUAACCAGAAUAAGAAUUUAAAGACUUUGACAAAGGAGAUGCUCUAUAUAAAGAAUUUGACAAAGGAGAUGCUCUAUAUGAGGCUCGCUCAAAACUAGCUUGAUAACAUCGUAUUUUAGCCCACUUUUACUAUGUUUUAUUUAGGUUUUCCAUGGAGAAAACAGGAGAUAUUGGAGAUUUCAAGGAUGUUUUCAAGUAUUUAUGCUUCAAGGAUGAAUAAUGUGUUUUCAAGCAAAAAGGAGUAAAAGACGAUCAAAUCCCGUUUCAAGACAGUUUCUGUGUCUCAGAAGUAUAGCGUCCGUUCGAGGUCUUCCCGAUUACCUAAUCUAGAGAUCUUGGUGGCUGUGGAAAGCUAGGAGAGUCAAGAUUCACCUCAAAGUAGAAUCGGAGAUUUUCAUCGAGCCAAUUGGAAGUUAUUCCCUGAGGAGUGAAUACAUGUCCCGGACCGGCCAGACAGCCUCGCGACCGGUUCGGAGCUUUCUGACGUCCCCGGUCGUGGAGCCCGUGCCCGAGCUGCUCUUUACGCCUCACCUCGGUCAUCACUCGUCGUGCCCUGUCCAGAAACUCGAGCCUCACUUAACCUAAUUCAUGGAAAAUGACGGUUUUGCCUCUUGACCUAAUCGAAGCCUAUAAAUACCGAGACAAGUUGAAGAAACCCGACGGCCUCUUCACAGCUUCCUCACCGCCUCCUAAACCUAGAUCUCGCAGCCUCCUUCGACGAGACUCUCAGCUCUCCUAGCUCCAUGAUGUGUGUGUAAUUUCAGUUCAUAACUACGAAAGGCGAAUGAACGAGUUAUCCUAUGUUAUAGAAUAAGCCGGCAAAUCUCCCUAUACUCCGUUACUCAAUUGACGCAGGCAAUGAUGCAUAGAUCGACACAUUAGGGUUGGAUUCGCUAAGUACUCUAAGUCCUGUUACUCAACUUACGCUGGUAACAACACGAAAGAUUGGUAACACUAUGUCCGAGAUUAGGUUUACCCGAUUCGAGCUCCUAACACAUGCAUUAAGUAAAAGAUGUCCCAAAAGAAUCUAAUUAUGAGCGAAAUAAUAGAUCUAUAAACCUAAUAUGAUUUGAACCAUGAAUCCCCUUUGAAUCACCCUAUAAAACCCAACAAAGAAAACUGCUCGCUCAUGAUGCUAAGAAACGACAUGGAGAUGAAGUAGAAAAGCAUAAAUAAACGAGUAUGAAUAAACAAAGGGAGUUCAAAGGAAACUUCUCUAGUGUCACAGAAGAUAACUUGUCUCCCCAAAAGUCUUGAAAGAAAGAGUAGAAGAAAGAGUAGAAGAGAAAACAAUGAAGAAUAAAGGAGAGAGCUUCAAAGGACGACUUCUUCGGAAUGCAAGAGCUUCGGCGAGGUGGAGCUAGGAGAGCUGAGAGUCUCGUCGAUGGAGGCUGCAAGAUCUAGGGUUAGGAGGCGGUGAAGAGCUGUGAAGAGGCCUUAGGGUUUCUUCAACUUGUCUCGGUAUUUAUAGGCUUCGAUUAGGUCAAGGGGCAAAACCGUCAUUUCCCACGAAUUAGGUUAAGUGAGAUUCGAGUUUCUGGACAGGGCACGACUGGUCACGACUGGGGUGAGGUGUGAAGAGCAGCUCGGAUGCAAGCUCCAUGACCGGGAGCUCCAAGAGGCGCCGGACCGGACACAAGGCUGUCUGGCCGGUCCGGGACAUGUCUUCCCUCUUCAGGACAUAACUUCCGAAUGGCUUGAUGAAAUGCUUUGAUUCUACUUCGAGGCGAAUCUUGAAUCUUCUAGCUUUCCAUAGCCACCGAGAUAUCUUGAUUUGGUAAUUGGGAAGACGUCGAACGGACGCCAUACUUCUGAGGCACAGAAAUUGUCUUGAAACGGGAUUUGAUCGAUUUUUACUCUUUUUUUCUUGAAAACACAUUAUUCAUCCUUGAAGCAUAAAUACUUGAAAACAUCCUUGAAAUCUCCAAUAUCUCCUGUUUUCUCUAUGGAAAACCUAAAUAAAACAUAGUAAAAGUGGGCUAAAAUACGAUGUUAUCACUCCACCUCGCCGAAGCUCUUGCAUCCCGAAUAAGUCGUCCUUUGAAGCUGUCUCUUUUACUCUUCAUUGUUUUCUCUUCUACUCUUUCUUCUACUCUUUCUUUCAAGACUUUUGGGGAGACAAGUAUCUUCUGUGACACUAGAGAAGUUUCCUUUGAACCCCCUUUGUUUAUCAUACUCGUUUAUUUAUGCUUUUCUACUU